AGCAGCCGCGGUAAUUCCAGCUCCAAUAGCGUAUAUUAAAGUUGUUGCAGUUAAAAAGCUCGUAGUUGAAUUUCGAGACCGGUUUACUGGUCGUGCUUUUGUACGUACUGGUAUUAUUGGUUUCUCCUUUCUGACGAAUCUUAAUGCCAUUAAUUUGGUGUUUUGGGGAAUCAGGACUGUUACUUUGAAAAAAUUAGAGUGUUUAAAGCAGGCUCACGCUUGAAUACAUUAGCAUGGAAUAACGGAAUAGGACGUUUGAUUCUAUUUUGUUGGUUUCUAGGAUCGACGUAAUGAUUAAUAGGGAUAGUUGGGGGCAUUAGUAUUCAAUUGUCAGAGGUGAAAUUCUUGGAUUUAUUGAAGACUAACUACUGCGAAAGCAUUUGCCAAGGAUGUUUUCAUUAAUCAAGAACGAAAGUUAGGGGAUCGAAGACGAUCAGAUACCGUCGUAGUCUUAACCAUAAACUAUGCCGACUAGGGAUCGGAUGAUGUUAAUUUUUUAAUGACUCAUUCGGCGCCUUAC
This 520-nucleotide ribosomal RNA is filed under the name uncultured Glomus. Its description in RNAcentral is "SSU rRNA". It matches the Rfam family "Eukaryotic small subunit ribosomal RNA", at positions 569 to 1091 of the family's 1831-position model. Lineage: Eukaryota; Fungi; Glomeromycota; Glomeromycetes; Glomerales; Glomeraceae. The record is from RNAcentral.